CUCCAACACUGGGUCCGUCCCUGCCUACACACCUCGUCGUCAUAUAAAAAUUGUGAAUAUUCAAUAUGUAAAUUGUGAAUAUUCACUAUAUAAAUUGUGAACUUGUAGACCGAGUCCACGUUACUAGGUGAACCCGGAUCCACAUAAUAAUUUGCCCCUAACCAACCAGACUACAGCCAAGUAACGUGAAGGAGGUUUGUCUCCUUCUCCCUUCUAAAAUUCACGUGAAGGAGCUUUGUCUCUUUCUUCCUUCUAAAAUUCUGCCUACUCUUUGUAUCUAUAAAUAAGAGCAUACCCACCUCUUCUUCAUAUAAACACUUAUUUCUUGAAUAAAUAUAAUCCCUCCUCCCUCUCGUUCUCCAAACCCCGGAUUUCUUCUCAAGCAACACAACCUCCAGAUAUCUUCCGUGUCUCUCCCUCUCGUUGCUGGUCUCCCUUUUUCUCUCAGCUCCGACAAUCACCGUUCUCACUCCUCCUAUCAUCACGGGGCAGAACCACGGCCUCCACCAUCUUUCUUCUCUUCCGCUCGGCGAACCACCGGCCUUCCUCACAUUUUCUCUCGGUGUUGACCGGCGGUGUAUUCGGAGAAGGUAACGGCGGCGUAUGUGCUGAUGUUGAAGAUGGUUCCUAUCGAGGUGAAUAGGAUGCUUAGUUCCUAUCGAUUUGAUUGGAGUUUUGGAGUUUUAGUUCUUGAGGAUACGAUAAGUUGCUUAUCGUGAUAGUGUAUAACACUCCGUAUUUUCAAACAGUCCUCUACUUCCGGCAACGGCGUCACAAUGGAGUGCGAACCAGCAGCAGCUACUUCAUCCAUGGGAACAAUACUUGAAAGUUGGAGGUGUUGCCAUGGAAUGUGCUUCCCAUCUUCAAGCUCGCUACAGCUACUUCAACACAGACGAUGAUCAUGCGACAUUGUUAAGUUUUAAGAGCAAGAUUCAAGAGCCAUGCACAAGAAUGUGUUCGGAAUUGAGCCAGGCUUUGGAAGCUAUAUCAUUAACCAUGAAAACCAUGUCUCAUCCGACGCCUGCGAUCCUAGACCAACUGUGGAACUCUAGAGCCGCCAUUGAUGAUCUUGAAGUCUUGUUCCGAAGCUCAGCAACGAAGAGCUUCGGAACAGGACUUCGAGAUCAUCAAUGGCGGCUCUGGAGUUCCGCAGGUGGUCUUGGAUUGCCGGCGUCGGAUGUGUAAUGGUUUUCAUGACUAAUGAUAUAGCUUUCAAAGCCUGGCUCGACUCCGAGCACAUUCUUGUGCAUGGCUCUUGAAUCUUGCUCUUAAAACUUAACAAUGUCGCAUGAUCAUCGUCUGUGUUGAAGUAGCUGCAGAGAGCUUGAAGAUGGGAAGCACAUUCCGCAACACCUCCAACUUUCAAGUAUUGCUCCCAUGGAUGACGAAACUUGAACUCGCCAUGACCAAAUUCCCACCAUGCAAAAAGUGCCUGUAUGCGUAUUCAAUACUUGUAUUAAUUAAACUGUUCCAUCCAUUUUUAUAGUUAGGAUUGUUCAUUUUA
Ipomoea nil (Japanese morning glory) is the source of this 1504-nucleotide long non-coding RNA. RefSeq lists it as uncharacterized. The record is from RefSeq and is a predicted model, not a curated record. Lineage: Eukaryota; Viridiplantae; Streptophyta; Magnoliopsida; Solanales; Convolvulaceae. The transcript has 3 exons.